CCCCCAAAACUAGAGUGUGCUGUUAUGAUAUGGUGUAAAGGAAGAGUGAAGCUUGAAAUGACAAAUUGGUCUAGAGCAUGGUGGGAGAGGUAUGAAUACAGCCAACAAAUGCAGCUAUUAGAAAUACUAAGUCUCAUGGAGAUCUCUACUGACCUUUUGCUGCAACAACUUGGUGGUAACAGUAUCACCAAGGCUUCUCCCUGGGGACUACCACACAACUGUUCUUUCGAAAACAUGCUGACUCCUCCUUACUUUCUUCGUACCUGGUGAUCAGAGGGACCAGCCACGAUACAGAAUGUCUUUCUUUUUGGUGAUUGUUGACAUACUGCUGCUUGUUC
Neogale vison (American mink) is the source of this 338-nucleotide long non-coding RNA. RefSeq lists it as uncharacterized. The transcript has 3 exons. The record is from RefSeq and is a predicted model, not a curated record. Lineage: Eukaryota; Metazoa; Chordata; Mammalia; Carnivora; Mustelidae.